Pangasianodon hypophthalmus (striped catfish) is the source of this 7699-nucleotide long non-coding RNA. RefSeq lists it as uncharacterized. NCBI's taxonomy places the organism in Eukaryota, Metazoa, Chordata, Actinopteri, Siluriformes, Pangasiidae. The transcript has 3 exons. The record is from RefSeq and is a predicted model, not a curated record.
AUAUUAUGCUUCCUACCAGUAUCAGUAUCUAUAGUGCUGUACAUUAUAUUUUGGCAUACUAUUUAUUACAGUUACAUGCUGAUUUUGAUGUAGCCAAACAAACUAGCCACUACGUAUGUAUAAGCAUGUGAAUGUGUAUAAGCACUCUGUUCAGCCAGGUAAUUGCUGAAAGCUACAGCAGUUGAGAAGAAAUUAAGAAAUAAUGAGAAGAAGUUAAGAAAUUUUUAAUCUUUUUAGUGUCGCUUGUUUUGAGGUUUCUCUUCUCCUGCACUGAUUAGCUAGACUGGACAGCCAAUCAGAGAAAGCUUUCUUGCAAGCCUCCAAUGUCCAUUCAACAUGCUCAGUCGGCACUGACAGGCUUUGACAAGGGCUGACUAGUGCCAACAGCAGGCGACAACUGGCCCUACCACCUCACUCUUUUGUCUCAGUGGAGUAAACCACAUGAGAGUGAUUGAAAUGGAGAAAAGAAACAGAAAUAAAUUUAAUCAAGACUGUUCUUUUAGCGUUCUUGUUAAACAUUCAUCCCUACAGGAGAUUAUUGGGCCUUAGUUACACGAGGAAAUGGUGAAAUGAAGAGAGAUUUGUGAUAGGUAUGGGGAAAAAAAGGAAGGAUUUUUUAUUACACCAACAUUGCUGUUUAUUGACUGACUGGAUGAGAUGCAGAUACUGGCAAUUUGGACAGCUCUACAGCAUUAGAGAAUGAAAACACACUUUCUCCCUAAUUAUAUGGCCUUUGCCUUGGCAGACUGGGGUUAUGAUAAUUUUGUUAUUUUUAGUUAAUUGUUUCCAGUGUGCAAGUUCAGUGACAUAAAAGGGCUUGCCAUGUUUUUAAUCUAGAAGACGACGGUUUAAAAGGAAUGGCGAUGUGCUCUAAUGACAUGAGAGCCAAUCAUAUGCUCACUUUUCACACAGGAGGCAAAGCAAAUAAACCACACUGGGCUAGAUUGCUUCUCUCCCUAAAACCGACUCUUUGAGAGGCUGUUGUGUAAGCAUGUGUGGUUCUUUGUGUGUGUUCUCAUGUUCAUGCGUGUGUGAGAAAGGGAAAAAAACAGACAACAAGUGGUUGUGCGUGGCCUAUGUGCAUGUAUGUACAUGCAUUUGUGAGUGUGUGUCUUCUAACAUUUAAUUUCGAGUGUAGAAGAGCAGUAAAGCAGGUAUGUGAGGAGGCAGGGUGUGGUCCAGGCCAGUCAAGCAGGUCAAGCAUGUGACCAGUGCCAGAGGUGGAGGGUGUGGAGGGAACCAGAGAUUCUGGGAAAAGCGUGAGAGAGAUAAGCAGAGCAGGGGCCAAACGGCUCCGAGCCAGCGUCAGGUACAAAGUAUGCCUGGGGGAGACGACCAGAGGGUUCCGGAAUGUUGACCACACUGACCCGAGCCAUUUAGCAUGAUAAGUAAUGGACACCUGUGCCCACCCCCAGCAUUCCUCACAAGGCUGGGAGCACCAAAAGAUACAAUCACUGGCUCCAAACACAGCUUACCAGAGCAGGAGUACAGAGGGGAAGCGCUACUCAGCAUGAUGGAUAUCCCUCACCUGUCAGACGGCGAUCUCUGGCUGGACAGUGCUUGCCUGACCUUGGCUAUGUCAUGCCUCUUACGCCCAUGUGCACACACACCACAGACAACACUGAAGAAAAUGUAAGUAAUGAGCCGCCAAUCCACAGCAAUAACAGACAUUGAAAAGGGUGAAGAAUGAAGUAUUGAUGUCAUAGUAACUUGGCCAUGAUAGCUCAGUGUUAUGCAACACAUACAUAUGUGUCGCAUAACAAACAGCAUAAUUUCAAGCUUGAAAUUUGUAAAAUAAAAGUCUAGAAAUAGGUUUAAUAAUCUUAUAUUUGGUUUAUUGUAUUCUUAUAGCAGGAAAUACUAUGUAAAUUUGACUAUAUUAAAAUUAUAUUCACUUCCUAAGAUUUUUUGUAGCGUAAGCAUGAGAGACAAAGUUAAGAUAAUUAUAACUAGUGCAGCAAGAGAAUAUGGUGUGUGGAACUUCAACCAGAGUUGGUAUUAAUACUCUUAACUGUGUAAAUGCAUUAUUUAGAUUAAAGCCAAUAUGUGAUUUUUUGCAUCUGCGGAAUUUCAUUUUCCAGAAGUUCAGAAAUGUAACAAUGACAAACUCCAAACUGGCUCAAUAAACACAAACUUUAAUGGGGCCUCUCCUCCUUUCAGAAGCUUAUGUUGAGCCAGACAUAUUGUAGAGCAUGAAAGGGUAAGAGAGACCAGGGUUCAACUUGAUCAUGUAGCGUGCCGAGUUCAAAACAUGCCCCUUGGAUGAGCAAACAUGCUUGGUGGGGGCUGUCUGUGUGGGAUGGGGUUUUUUGAUGGGGUGCAGGGGAUACAAGGCGGGAGGAGUUCCAUAAUCCUUCCCCCAGACAUGCAAGUUCCUUCAGACACUUCCUUUCUAGAGGGCCGCACCAGAAAAGGUGUUCAGUCAUGUGAAACUUAAUCUGCAACCCUGCCACCACUGACCUCUCACCCUGACUGCCUUUAGCCUUAGAGAGAGGGAGAGGGUGUUGAGUGAGAGAGAGAAGAGGGACUGUGGGUGGAGGAGAAAAGGACAGAGAGAGGGAAAGGACCUUGAAGUUGUAAAAUAAAGAUGCAAUGCCCUUUUGGAAUUUGUUACAGGACAGGAAAAAUGCUCGCGGCGCAUUUUUAGUGUAUUCUUUCAUUUGUGCAUGUUUGUGUGUGCGCGUGUGUGUUUUUGUGUGCAUACAUAGGAGAGCUAGUGCCAAAACAGUCUGAGGCUGCAGACAAAGUGCAUGGGGGUCACCUUAACACAAAACAGUGUGUGUACUAGACAUAACAUGCAGCCUGCAUUCCCUAGCUGAGACGUGGCCAUGCUGCUCCUCUCCCUCUCCCCCUGCAGCCAUUAUCAACUGGGCUGAAAAACCUCUGUGGCUCAACUUUAGCUGUCCUCUAUGAUUACCUGUUUUUUCUCCACUUUUCCAUAGCGAAGGUGACCCUGCUGGUUCGGCUCCGCAGCAGCAAUUAACCUGGCCUGCCCCAUGUCCUUUCCUCAGCUGAGCAGGAGCGACACGUGUUAGCAGUGGCCACAGACAGGCUUAGCUGAGAGUGUGAGAGUGUGUGUGAGGAUGCCUGUUUGAGAACUUCUACACCAUCACAACCACAACACAAUCUAUUAUAGUCGGAGAAAAUAGAUAAUACUUUCCUUAAAACUCCCAGUGCCUAUACUACUAUAGUCAAAUCAGAUCUACAUACACAGAAAAGGCUUAGAUUUCUUUAGCCAUUUAAGCUAGAAUUAGGUUUUCCACCAACAGCUAGUUAUAUUCUGGAGGACAGAGCAAAGAAGUUAGAGCUCUGUCUUCUCUGGCAACAGUCCUGACUCUCUGACCUUUAAACUCUAAACCAGGGCAGUACCCCUCCCCCAAUCUUUGGCAAACACACACAUACACACCCUCCCCUUGCCCUACAAUCUCCAUAGUCUGAACUUUAUCUCAGUUGUCCACACCUUGCAUUCCAGCCUUCCUUGUCUAUCUAUAGACUUUAGACUCUUCACCUCUGCAAACAGCCUGGACUAAAGCAAGGCCAGUUAUUAUUCUGUCACACCAAAUGGUGUGAAAGACAGAGAGAAAGGAGGGGUGGGGUGAGUUUAUCGUAGAGGCCAAACAGAGAUGACCAUAUGAUGCUAUAAAACUCUGAUAAGAUAAUGAACUUCCACCUCAGAUACCUCCACCUCAGAUACCUUCCACCUCAGAUAACCCAAGUCCAACCUGCAAAAAGUGUGUCCAAGUGCAGCAAGAGAGAGUGCGUGUCUGUAAGUUACCCAUGCAGAAAUUAGUUCCCUAUUUUCAAAAAUACAAGUAAUUCUUUAUGCAAUAAGUGUGUGUGUGUGUGUGUGUGUGUGUGUGUCUGUGUGUGCUUCAGACUCUGUUUAUUCAAUCCUAAAGGGCAUUGCAAUCUCCACAACAAAGUGUUCACCUGGGAUCAAUCACUUAGCUUAUUAAAGCACUCAUAUUCAAACUAUGCUGCUGCCUUGUGCAUGUUUCCCUCCUUUGCACCAUUUGUGAUUAAUUAUCCCACACAAAUCUAAUCAUGGCGCACACAUGGCUGCUCCUAACUAUCUAUCUAUUGUCCUGCACUUGAGGGGGAAAACAGAACAGUGAAGUGAAUGAUUCCUUCUUUAAUGAGAUUGGAGUAGGGGCCAAAGUUGCAGAGGCAUUGAUCGACCCCCAUUCACAAAGCAGGUGUCCAUCCCUAUAGACUCCCUGAGACUUAACAAUUCACAGGAAAAAAGUUACGGGUAGUGGAGCAAAGUAGGUGGAGGGGUGACAAGAUGUUAUCUCAAAUGCUUAUUGGAACAAGGACAAAAUGACACUUGACUGAAUGGUGUCUAAUCUACAGCCCAUGUGCACCAUUUGUGAAAUGCCAGAAAAGUUAUUUUAAAAAUAAAAUUUCAGUUAGUACACUGUUACAAAAGUUUUGGAAGUCUUUCCCCUGGUCCAAAUGUUAAUUUAAAAGUUAACCUACAUUAAAGGUGAGGACAGUAUUUUUUAAAUCAGCAAUAUUUUGCAGGUUUCUCCUUGUAUUUAGUUAUCACUAAAAUAUACACUGAUCAGCCAUAACAUUAUAACCGCCUGCCUAAUAUUGUGUAAGUCUCCCUUGUGCCAGUGAAACAGCUCUGAACCAUCAAGGCAUGGACUCCACAAGACCUCUGAAGUUGUGCUGUGGUAUCUGUCACCAAGACGUUAACAGCAGAUCCUUUAAGUCCUGUAAGUUGCAAGGUGGGGCCUCCAUGGAUUGGACUUGUUUGUCCAAGGAUUGUCAAAUUGGAUUGAGAUCUGGGGAAUUUGGAGGCCAAGUCAACACCUUGUAACACCUUUGUCAUGUUCCUCAAUCCAUUCCUGAACAAUUUUUGCAGUAUGACAGGGUGCAUUAUCUGCUGAUAGAGGCCACUGCCAUUAGGGAAUUCUGUUGCCAUGAAGAGAUGUACUUGGUCUGCAACAUUGUUUAGGUAGGUGGUACAUGUCAAAGUAAUAUCCACAUAAAUGCCAGGACCCAAGGUUUCCCAGCAGAAUAUAACCCAGAGCAUCACACUGCAUCCACCAGCUUGCCUUCUUCAUAGUGCAUCCUGGUGCCAUCUCUUCCCCAGGUAAGCGAUGUACACGCACCCGGCCAUCGAUAUGAUGUAAAAGAAAACAUGACUCAUCAGACCAGGCCACCUUCUUGCAAUUCUCCAUGGUCCAGUUCUGCUCACAAGCCCAUUGUAGGUACUUUCAGCGGUGGACAGGGGUCAGCAUGGACACUCUGACUGGUCUCCGGCUACCCAGCCCCAUACACAGCAAGCUGUGACAGAACACCUUGCGUUCUGACACCUUUCUACCAUAGCCAGCAUUAACUUUUUCAGCAAUUUGUGCUGCUAUAGCUCUUCUGGUGGUUCAGACCAGAUGAGCUAGCCUUCGCUCCCCACACGCAUCAGUGAGCCUUGGGCGUACAUGACCCUGUCGCCGGUUCACCAGUUGUCCUUCCUUGGACUACUUUUGGUAGGUACUAACCACUGCAUACCAGGAACAUCCCGCAAGACCUGCUGUUUUGGAGAUGCUCUGACCCAUUCUUCUAGCCAUCACUUUUUGGCCCGUGUCCAAGUCACUCAGAUCCUUAUGCUUGUCCAUUUUUCCUGCUUCCAACACAUCAACUUCAAGAGCUGAAGUUCACUUGUUGCAUAAUAUAUCCCACCCCUUGACAGGUGCUAUUGUAACAAGAUAAUCAGUGUUAUUCACUUCACCUGUCAGUGGUUUUAACGUUAUGGUUGAUUGGUGUAUGUUCAAGGGAAAAAGUCCCCAAUACCCAACCUAUGUAAAUAGAUACAAAAAAAAAUGGUGUGGAUCUCCAACAUCCAACCAAAUAUGGAUGUGUCUCUACUUGCUUGUCAAUUCAGGAAGCAGAGUUUUGGUGGUGUAGAUUUGGAGGAAAUACUGUAAUAAGGUGUGGCUAUAUAGCUUCAGCUAGCUUCAGCAAAAAUCGCUAUUCUAUACCUUUCAUUUUACCAAGCUUUCUGAAAAGAAAUAAAAAAACAGAUAGUGAAUUUUGGAGACUUUGAAAAGUGAAGUUUGGAGAGAUGCAUAUUUAUUUAAUUUGUCAGAGCUUAGCUUGCUGUACUAAAAAUGUAUCUAAUGAGUGAAAUCUGUGAAAUCUUUAUUUACACAACGCUAAUCAAGCACACAGCAGACAACAAGUGCUUAAGACUCCUCACUUAGUAAGCUAUUUGCUUAAAUUAAUAAGCAAUGUGAUGGUGGCAAUCAUGUCUGUUAUUUAUUCCUUUACUGUAAUUAUUGCAGAUAGCCUGUGGCCAAUGACAUUAUUUUUUGCUCCAUCUAGCCCCAAUAAGAAAAGUUUGGACACUCCUGGCUUUAACUGUACUAACCUGGAAAGUCAGUGUCAAAGGUUUUUGUGAGAGUAAACUCUUAUAAAAGAGUGCAGCCAUUGGUAAUGCAUGAUUAAUGCCUAUUUCAUUCACUGUGCUGUAAAUGUCCAGCAGAGCACAAGUAAAUUCUAACUUUAACUCUGCGGUCAGUGUCCAUUAAGAUGCAUUUACUUUGUUCUCUUGCCCUAUGCACCUUCCUACACCGCAGAAUGAAUUAAACAAAGCUAGAAAUGACUGCCAUAGUGGAAAUGAAGCAUGACCAUUUCAGGCCCUUAUAAUAGAGCAUUAAUGUGUAGUCUAUACCACAAACACUACACAAUAAAAGGCAACAGUCAGUAAAGUUAACUUUUUGUCAGCAGUCUCAUCCUGUAUUGGGCAAAGCUUGGAGAAAGAGCUUUCUGCACACCAUAAAGAGGGUCAUCCAGGAUGACUUCUGAUUUUUAUUUUUCCUAUAACUACACCUUUGGGCCAAUUCUACACAGACACACAGAAAAGGAACCUCAACCCACAGCAUUCAUUUUUUUUUCUAAGGGACUGGAGAAUUCUGUACUAUAAAACACUGAAAAAAAUGAAGCCCAUUUUCUGGGGAUUCUGGGUUAAUUUUUAACUGUGACAAAUGUGUUCAGCUCCUCACAUAAAAACAAUAUUGAAUCUCAGUAAACAUGAUGAGAGCCUGGUGACUCAAAAGUUUUUAAGCCUGCUAAUUUAUUUCAAAUAGAGGAAAAUAUCACUGAUUUGUUUUAUUCACCUGUCCUUCCUGUCCUUCCAUAUCUGUGUAGAGAGCUAUAUAGUUUGAACAAGGUAAAAAUGGAUAGAGCUGUUAGCGGGAGGAAUAAAAUGGUGCUGAUUGGCAAGGAAUGAGCUUCAGGUCUCACCCACGUAGCAGAAUACAAUAGAACCUAAAUAGAAGUGGACUUUACUUGUGUAUGGAGUAGAAUUUAAAUAAUUCCAUGUUUUGGUCUGAUUUGAAUGAGCAUGGAUUUUGAGGAAAAGUAAACAAUAUGAAGCACUGGAGAGGUUUACUACCAGCAUUUCAUUCAACAAAUGUCAAUUUUUAAUGGUGAAUAUUAUACUAGACAGGCUUUCAUUACCUUUAUCUCAAAUCAACAAAUCUUGCUAUUUAGAACACAAUGGACUCUCUGUGUAAUUUUAAAACGAUGCAUAUGUGUGUAUCUGGACUGGUGGUUUCCAUUGAGAGAGAACAAGACAAGUAAGCCUGACUAAACUGCUCUUUUUAUCUGAGGGCGAAGGAAGUGUGAUACAAUAGUGUCAUGACCAAAUGACGGUAAACCCACCUUAACUAUAAAGCAAAUUUGAACAAGGGUA